UCCAGCUUUAUAUGUCUACCUGUCUAUAUAUUUCCACCCCAGCUCUAAAUAUAUGUAACUCUCUAUAUUUCCAGCUCCAUGUAUGUGCAGAUUGUCUAACACCUCUGCCUGGGGCAGGGAUGCACGACCUCCUGGCCACAGGCUCUUUGCUGGCGGUGGACCCAGACAGGCUCAUCAUCAAGAGGCUGGUGCUUAGCGGUCACCCCUUCAAAAUUUUCAGCAAGACGGCAGUCGUGCGGUACAUGUUCUUUACCAGAGAGGAUGUGCUGUGGUUUAAGCCUGUUGAGCUGAGAACAAAAUGGGGCCACAAGGGGACACAUCAAGGAGCCACUAGGGACCCAUGGCCACAUGAAGUGCCACUUUGAUGCACAGCUGAAGUCCCAGGACACGGUGCUGAUGAACCUGUACAAACGCGUCUUUCCCAAGUGGACGUAUGACCCGUAUGUGCCAGAGCCGGUGGCGUGGGUGAGAAACGAGGAGCCUGCCCCCGUGCCAGAGGUGGACACGGAGUAGCUCUUCGGAACCUGCGUCCAGGAUUCCCGAGGAGUCUCCUGGGUGCAGGCGUGUGUUAGCGUAGUGCCUUCCCACGCUGCUGCAGCCUCUGUUGUAUCUAUUUCAAUGGCAAAUAU
Molecule: long non-coding RNA, 629 nt
Organism: Alligator mississippiensis (American alligator)
Lineage: Eukaryota; Metazoa; Chordata; Crocodylia; Alligatoridae
Exons: 3
Source: RefSeq, a predicted model, not a curated record